Molecule: ribosomal RNA, 3153 nt
Filed under: Triticum aestivum (bread wheat)
Lineage: Eukaryota; Viridiplantae; Streptophyta; Magnoliopsida; Poales; Poaceae
Description: partial small subunit ribosomal RNA
Source: RNAcentral
CUUCAGCCGGUCUACACCCGCAAGUUGACCGCCAGCCGUCGCGCUGCCUUCUUCUCCUCUGCCGGUAAAUAAAACCCCACGACAAGGAAAAAAAAAACUCUUUUCUACUAACACGCGCAGCCUCAGCGAAGCAGCUCAGCGGCGACAACAAAAGAGGGGGCCCUUUCCGUUGGUCGCCACCGCCACCGCCACCUCGCCUCGGCCCACCCCCCGCUCCUCCGCACGCCCGCGCGGGAUCUCGCGCUCGCCCCGAGGAGGGCUCUCCCGCAGGGUUUGCGGCGGGCGAUGGCGAGCCGGGUGAAGGAGGACGAGAAGAACGAGCGGGUCAUAAGGGGGCUGCUCAAGCUGCCCGCCAACAAGAGGUGCAUCAACUGCAACAAUUUGGGACCACAAUAUGUCUGCACAAAUUUCUGGACCUUCGUUUGUACCAAUUGCAGUGGAGCACACCGAGAGUUCACUCACCGGGUGAAAUCUGUUUCCAUGGCUAAAUUUACCGCACAAGAAGUCACUGCUCUACAAGGAGGAGGAAAUGAGCGUGCUAGAGAAAUAUUUUUCAAGGAGUGGGAUUCUCAGCGUAAUCCAUACCCUGACAGCAGUAAUACGGACAAAUUGAGGAAUUUCAUCAAGCAUAUUUACGUGGAGCGGAGAUAUACAGGAGAAAGAAGCUCUGAUAGACCACCGAGGGGAAAGGACGAUAAGGAUGAACAUAGCGAAAAUAGAAGAUCUGAUGGAAAUCGGGGUGGUUCAAGAAGUCCACCAUACAAUGAAAGUUACUCUGACCGUCGGAGUUAUAGUGGACGGAGUGAUGACAGAAAUUCCAGACAUUCCUAUGGAGAACGUAGUCCUGGCUAUGACCAGAAUGACUAUAAGAAAAGCCCCCGCCACUUUGAAGCUGUCGACGAUAGAUCUGGGAAAACGACUCCAGUUCAAAGGUUCGAGGACCGCAGGUUUUCUGAACCACGAAAGCCAGAGACUGGGUCUCCAAAUUACCAGAGAGAAGCCAACGGAUCUAGUCCUCCUGUUGUACGGCCAGUGAGGGAGAUAUUGGGUGAUGAUGCUCCUCAACUUCGGAUUGGUGAACCUCCAAAGCCGAAUGUAGCCAGACCGAUUGAUCCUCCAAAACCAAAUGGAACCAGGACCAUUGAGCCUCCACCUCAGGCACAGAGGACAUCUACUGCCAGCAGUAUUGGUUCUUCCGAGGGGAUUUCGGAACAGACGAAGGCAGCAACUCCAGUCAGUUUAAUUGAUUUUGGUGCAGAUCCUGAACCCACUGCAUCUGCCCCGCCAUCACAGACAGCCCCUACACCCCAACAGCAGCCAGUUAGUGCACAGCCUAUUAACGCAACAACGCCGCAACAUGUUCUUGAACAAGGCAAAAGUGCUCCAUCAGCAAGCGGCGGUGAUUGGGCAUCUUUUGAUGCUUUUGGCCAGCAGCAACAAACACCACAAGUAGGCAGCACCGUAAAUCCACUUGAGUCUGUGCUUGCACAACUAUCAUUCUCCGAAACACCCUCUGCCUCCAAUACGUCAGCCUUUUCAACUUCUGUUGAUCCGCAAGCAAAUGGAGGACAGCUGUCCAUGAUAGAUACAUCACAUUCUUCAUUAUUUGGUCCACCCGUUGGAAUCUCAGGCAAUCAGGUCUCAACAGGAAUGCCUGUCCAAGGAUCUGCAGUUCAUCAAUCUGCUGUGGCUGCCUCUAUGGGUGGUCUUCCAUCUCAAUUGCCUUCAAAUUCUCAAGGAACCAGUGGUAUUCAAGAAGCAACGUCUUCUCAUGACAGCAAAUCCAGUGGGCGGACAGUACUGCCAGUGGAUUUCUUUACUUCACUAUAUCCAUCAGCAACUCCAGCAAUGCCUGGCUGGCAGAGAGCUCCCCAGUCUGGAAUGGGAUUUGGCAUGCAGUAUCCUGCUGCAAUGUUGCAGGGAAUGCAGUCAUAUCCUCAGGCAGCAUUUUCUCAACCUACAUAUCAACAACCUAUGUAUCAGCAACCUACAUACCAACAACCUACGUAUCAACAGCCUGUAUAUCAGCAAAAUGCGUAUCCCCAACCUGCGAAAGCUUCAAACCCUUUUGACCUCGGAAAUGAGGCAGCCCCAAUUCAAGCUCACAUGUCCCGACCACUGGGAGCAUCAUCAGGCGCUACUAACCCAACAUUAGUUGGUAACUCUAGUUUUGGAGUUCCACCUCAGCAGCCUCAGCAGAUGUAUCAGCCAUCUGUACAUCAAAACCAUUACAUGAUGCAGCAUGUUUCAAACAACAUGCCUGAGCAGCUACCUAAUGGCAUGCUUCCAAGGCAACAAGGAGGUGCUGGUUCCCUCGGCGUAGGCUAUGAUCAACAAGCUGCUCCUAGGUAUUCCCAGCCAAACACCCCACCGUCCUAUGGUGCUGUGGGUGGAAAUCCUUUCGGGUAAAAGGCUUAUCAAAUGUGGACGUACCAUGUUACCUGUUUAUGGUAUCUUGUGUAUCUUCAGACCACUGGUUUGUGGUGCCCACUGCCCAGUGAGAUAAGAAUGCACAAAGCCCUGGAGAAAAUUUGUUUCAUAUUACUGGUUAUGUGUUUGUCACUGUAGCUCCAUGUAACUUGAUCUGGAAGGUGGAAGCGAUGUGGGGCAUAAGCUUCAGGAGCAGGAGUUCUGCGGUUCUUCUAGCCCCUAUUUUCUUGUAUAUUUGUGUUUGGUGUUCUGUGUGCGUUGCAUCCGAUGUAUAUUCACAGAGACCCUAUGCCUUGUAUGGUUUUUGAUUGGGAUCUUUCGAGCGGCCAUAUCUGAUAGUGUACUUAGUUCAGAAUGUUAUUUUUAGUCCAGCUGGCUAUUCAAUUUUAAUGUUUAUUGCAAUGCAUGCCUGAAGGAUGUAUAAUUGUGAUUAAUCAGUUGUUUUGGUCUCAUGCUAUUAUUGCAUUAUAUGGAUCCUUUCUUCCAGGCAUGGUUGUUUUCCUUGCUAUUUCUUGGGAGGAACGAUCUAUACACACGAGUUUGAACAACAAAUACCCUUGGAUUGGACUUUGCCCGCUUGUUCCCUCCGAGCCCUGGGGUUGGUGCUUGGCUCGGGUGCAGACUUGGAGCUUGAGGUGCUUGGCUUGGGUGCAGACUUGGAGCUUGAUCACCAAAUCACUAAUUGUGGACUACUCAUUGCAAAGAUCACUCUCAUCUUCCUAG